Molecule: ribosomal RNA, 253 nt
Filed under: uncultured prokaryote
Description: partial 16S ribosomal RNA
Rfam family: Bacterial small subunit ribosomal RNA
Source: RNAcentral
UACGGGGGGGGCAAGCGUUGUUCGGAAUUACUGGGCGUAAAGGGCGCGUAGGCGGCCUUCUAAGUCGUGCGUGAAAUCCCCCGGCUCAACCGGGGAACUGCGUUCGAUACUGGAAGGCUUGAAUCCGGGAGAGGGAUGUGGAAUUCCAGGUGUAGCAGUGAAAUGCGUAGAGAUCUGGAGGAACACCGAUGGCGAAGGCAGCCCCCUGGGUUAGCACUGACGCUCAUACACGAAAGCGUGGGGAGCAAACAGG